RNAcentral lists this long non-coding RNA (621 nucleotides) under Gossypium barbadense (sea-island cotton). RNAcentral describes it as "long non-coding RNA (GBAR_LNC002576)". Lineage: Eukaryota; Viridiplantae; Streptophyta; Magnoliopsida; Malvales; Malvaceae. The record is from RNAcentral.
CAGUGAUCCUUCAAAACAUAUUAGUUGGGAUGGCAUUCAUUAUACUGAAGCUGCAAACUAUUGGGUGGUCAAUAGGAUUUUGGAUGGCUCUCUCUCAGAUCCCCCUCUUCCUAUUACCAAAGCUUGUCUAUAACCUCACAUAUCCUGUCCUGUAUCAAAGAAUAAACCUCAUUUAUGUAAUAAUAACAAAAUAAAUUCGAUUAUUUAUACUAUUCACAAACUAGUUAAAAAAAUUUCCAUUGAAUUCACAGACUACUCGAAUCAAACAUUGAAAUAUUCAAAUUGGAUUCGCUCCUUUAAGCUUAGCUCCACAAUGAAACUUGAGAAGAAAUUCAAGGGAACUGCUGUAUUUUAAUCAGUCCUGAUAUCGGUAGGCACUGGAGUAAUCUUCAAGUAGUAGCUAACAAUAAAAUAAUAAGCAACGUUUGAGUUUGAGGUUGUUAUGAAUUAGGUGAUGCACGCUUGUCGAUUCCAUUACCAUAAUAUUCAUACAAGGUCCACUUCAAAUUUCGGAUUUGCAAGAAAAAGGUUAAGUUCCACUCGCCAAGUACGGUCAACGCGUCAAAUAUCUGCUAGUCGUCAACCUGCUUGAUAAAAGAUCUGAAAGAAUCAGUAUGGAAG